RNAcentral lists this long non-coding RNA (231 nucleotides) under Medicago truncatula (barrel medic). RNAcentral describes it as "long non-coding RNA (MTRU_LNC007034)". The record is from RNAcentral. Lineage: Eukaryota; Viridiplantae; Streptophyta; Magnoliopsida; Fabales; Fabaceae.
UAGUUGUUGUUGCGCCUGUGCCACCCACUCUGUUAUAUUUUGAAUGUAUAGUACUUUUUUUUUUUGAAUUGGCAAAUUUUGAGGGUUACCUUCUUCCACCAAAAUAAUUCAAGAGAAAUAGUGCAUCUUCAAUCACAUUCUGCAAAAGUAUAAACAACACUCCCGUGAAUUUCAUUUUGUAAUUGAAGAGAAAAAUUGUUGAUGAAAAUUGGUAGAAUCAAUGAUUGUUUG